GGAAUUUCCCGAACUCCUCACUUUCUAACCCUGUGCACUUGUUUGGGAUAGUAACUCUCGCAAGAGAGCGAACUCCUAUUCACUUAUAAACACAAAGUCUAUGAAUGUAUUAAAUUUUAUAACAAAAUAAAACUUUCAACAACGGAUCUCUUGGCUCUCGCAUCGAUGAAGAACGCAGCGAAAUGCGAUAAGUAAUGUGAAUUGCAGAAUUCAGUGAAUCAUCGAAUCUUUGAACGCACCUUGCGCUCCAUGGUAUUCCGUGGAGCAUGCCUGUUUGAGUGUCAUGAAUACUUCAACCCUCCUCUUUCUUAAUGAUUGAAGAGGUGUUUGGUUUCUGAGCGCUGCUGGCCUUUACGGUCUAGCUCGUUCGUAAUGCAUUAGCAUCCGCAAUCGAACUUCGGAUUGACUUGGCGUAAUAGACUAUUCGCUGAGGAAUUCUAGUCUUCGGACUAGAGCCGGGUUGGGUUAAAGGAAGCUUCUAAUCAGAAUGUCUACAUUUUAAGAUUAGAUCUCAAAUCAGGUAGGACUACCCGCUGAACUUAAGCAUAUCAAUAAGCGGAGGAAAAGAAACUAACAAGGAUUCCCCUAGUAGCGGCGAGCGAAGCGGGAAGAGCUCAAAUUUAUAAUCUGGCACCUUCGGUGUCCGAGUUGUAAUCUCUAGAAAUGUUUUCCGCGUUGGACCGCACACAAGUCUGUUGGAAUACAGCGGCAUAGUGGUGAGACCCCCGUAUAUGGUGCGGACGCCCAGCGCUUUGUGAUACAUUUUCGAAAAGUCAAGUUGUUUGGGGAAUGCAGCCUC
RNAcentral lists this ribosomal RNA (799 nucleotides) under Rhodotorula mucilaginosa. RNAcentral's name for it is "eukaryotic LSU rRNA". The stretch from base 507 to 799 matches the Rfam family "Eukaryotic large subunit ribosomal RNA", at positions 1 to 289 of the family's 3401-position model. Lineage: Eukaryota; Fungi; Basidiomycota; Microbotryomycetes; Sporidiobolales; Sporidiobolaceae. The record is from RNAcentral.